UCUCGCGCGUCCGCGCUGUGGCUCCCGCUGGCCUGACUGCCUGACUGACCGUCCGCCAGCCGCCCUCAGAGGCCCUCGCUCAGGUGCCCGGGCCGCGUGCUUGUCUCUCGCUCUCCUCACCUCAGGUUCCCGCCCCGAGGGUCGGGACGGAGGACGCAGAGAGGCGGCGAGAGUGGCCAGGAUGCGGCCUGCAGGACUGCGGCGGGCCUGAGGUGAACGGACCGUUGCGGGGCCUUCCCGUCAAGCCCUCAGGCUCCAGCGCAGCGCCCGGGACGCAGACGGAGGUAGAGAAACUGAGGCCCAAGGAGAGGAAUGGACUUGCCUGGACAUUCCAGGAAUCCAGAGGCAACUCGGGCCAAGAUGUGGCCCCCAGCAUGAGGUGUACCAGGGAAGAGAACGUGGCUCACCGGAGUGGGAUGCGGAUGGCGAUGUAGCG
Long non-coding RNA from Orcinus orca (killer whale), 436 nucleotides. RefSeq lists it as uncharacterized. NCBI's taxonomy places the organism in Eukaryota, Metazoa, Chordata, Mammalia, Artiodactyla, Delphinidae. The transcript is spliced from 3 exons. The record is from RefSeq and is a predicted model, not a curated record.